UGGGGAAUAUUGGGCAAUGGGCGAAAGCCUGACCCAGCAACGCCGCGUGAAGGAAGAAGGUCUUCGGAUUGUAAACUUCUUUUAUGAGGGACGAAGGACGUGACGGUACCUCAUGAAUAAGCCACGGCUAACUACGUGCCAGCAGCCGCGGUAAUACGUAGGUGGCAAGCGUUAUCCGGAUUUACUGGGUGUAAAGGGCGCGUAGGCGGGGAUGCAAGUCAGAUGUGAAAUCUAUGGGCUUAACUCAUAAACUGCAUUUGAAACUGUAUCUCUUGAGUGCUGGAGAGGUAGAUGGAAUUCCUUGUGUAGCGGUGAAAUGCGUAGAUAUAAGGAAGAACACCAGUGGCGAAGGCGAUCUACUGGACAGUAACUGACGCUGAGGCGCGAAAGCGUGGGGAGCAAACAGGAUUAGAUACC
This 417-nucleotide ribosomal RNA is filed under the name uncultured bacterium. RNAcentral describes it as "bacterial SSU rRNA". It matches the Rfam family "Bacterial small subunit ribosomal RNA", at positions 355 to 786 of the family's 1533-position model. The record is from RNAcentral.